UCUCCUACGGGAGGCAGCAGUGGGGAAUUUUGGACAAUGGGGGAAAGCNUGAUCCAGCCAUGCCGCGUGNGGGAAGAAGGCCUUCGGGUUGUAAACCNCUUUUGUCAGGGAAGAAAUAUCUUUGGCUAACANCCCGGGGGGAUGACGGUACCUGGAGAAUAACCCCCGGNUAAUUUGGUGCCAGCAGCGGGGGUAAUAAGUAGGGUGCAAGCGUUAUUNGGAAUUACUGGGCUAAAAGCGUGNGCAGGCGGUUGUGAAAGACAGAUGUGAAAUCCCCGGGCUUACCUUGGGAACUGCAUUUGUGACUGCAAGGUUGGAGUGCGGCAGAGGGGGAGGGAAUUCCGCGUGUAGCAGUGAAAUGGGUAGAUUUGCGGAGGAACACCGAUGGGGAAGGCAAUCCCCGGGCCCUGCACUGACGNUCAUCCAGGAAAGCGUGGGGAGCAAACAGGAUUAGAUACCCUGUUAGUCCACCCCCUAAACGAUAUCAACUAUNGUNUGUGUUUUCCUUAUCGGUUCGUAGAUAUC
RNAcentral lists this ribosomal RNA (525 nucleotides) under uncultured Rubrivivax sp. RNAcentral's name for it is "bacterial SSU rRNA". It matches the Rfam family "Bacterial small subunit ribosomal RNA", at positions 335 to 856 of the family's 1533-position model. The record is from RNAcentral. Lineage: Bacteria; Pseudomonadati; Pseudomonadota; Betaproteobacteria; Burkholderiales; Sphaerotilaceae.